GAAUAAGAGGUCCAGCCUGCCCUGUGACUAUAUGUUCAACGGCCGCGGUAUUUUAACCGUGCGAAGGUAGCGUAAUCACUUGUCUUUUAAAUGGAGACCUGUAUGAAUGGCAUUACGAGGGCUUAACUGUCUCCUUUUUCAAGUCAAUGAAAUUGAUCUCCCCGUGCAGAAGCGGGGAUAAUCCCAUAAGACGAGAAGACCCUAUGGAGCUUUAGACACCAAGGCAUAUCAUGUUACCUAUCCCUACACCCUGGGAAUUAAACCUAUUGAAUCAUGCCCCUAUGUCUUCGGUUGGGGCGACCACGGGGAAAUAAAGAACCCCCGCGUGGAAUGGGAGCACUGACUCCUACGACCAAGAGCUGCAGCUCUAACGAACAGAAUUUUUGACCAAUAAAGAUCCGGCAACGCCGAUCAACGGACCAAGUUACCCUAGGGAUAACAGCGCAAUCCCCUUUUAGAGCCCGUAUCAACAAGGGGGUUUACGACCUCGAUGUUGGAUCAGGACAUCCUAAUGGUGCAGCCGCUAUUAAGGGUUCGUUUGUUCAACGAUUAAAGUCCUACGUG
RNAcentral lists this ribosomal RNA (564 nucleotides) under Hyperoglyphe japonica (Pacific barrelfish). Its description in RNAcentral is "partial 16S rRNA". It matches the Rfam family "Bacterial large subunit ribosomal RNA", at positions 1843 to 2602 of the family's 2925-position model. The record is from RNAcentral. Lineage: Eukaryota; Metazoa; Chordata; Actinopteri; Scombriformes; Centrolophidae.